CGAGAAGGCCCAGUAGUGUGGCAGCAUCUGGGACAGAGGGGUGGGGGUGAGACAUACAGGUCAGGGGAAGAAGGCAAGAGGAGCACGGAGAGACCAAUUAGAAAGCUAUUGCUGUUGUCCAGGUGGGAAAUCACCACUGGCUCAGGGAAUAGCAGUGAGGUGAAGACGCAUGGGGAGAUGUGAGAGAUCAUACACACUUCAAAUGUCAGAGUAACAGUGAGACCACAGAAACCUUCAUUGUCAUCUUCUUCCCUGCAUACACCUCCAUGUGCUGUAAAGGUUAUUGUUAAUGAUCCUGUGCACACCAAUGGAAAAGAAGUGCAUGUUCUCUGUUUUACUUUUUAUCCAGUCCUAGAGAUCUCCCCGCUUUGUUUUCUCUGCCUCCUUAA
Long non-coding RNA from Phyllostomus hastatus (greater spear-nosed bat), 389 nucleotides. RefSeq lists it as uncharacterized. The transcript is spliced from 3 exons. NCBI's taxonomy places the organism in Eukaryota, Metazoa, Chordata, Mammalia, Chiroptera, Phyllostomidae. The record is from RefSeq and is a predicted model, not a curated record.